CGGCUAACGUAACAUUGCUACGUUGCUAUUUUCAGCAAAGGUUCCACUUUAAGAACGUUUCCCAUAGCCAUCUGGGUAAUGCGUGUGCUGAUGCAGCCAAACAUACAAGAAUAGGUUCGAUUUAAAGACAUCUCUAGAGAUCUCAGAGGAUAGGAUGGCUGAACUGCAGCUCAGCCGGGCUGCUACAACAUCUCCCAAGUGUUUACCUCUGGUC
RNAcentral lists this long non-coding RNA (214 nucleotides) under Oryzias sinensis (Chinese medaka). RNAcentral describes it as "lncRNA (ENSOSIG00000023249.1)". Lineage: Eukaryota; Metazoa; Chordata; Actinopteri; Beloniformes; Adrianichthyidae. The record is from RNAcentral.